Molecule: transfer RNA, 64 nt
Filed under: Camelus bactrianus (Bactrian camel)
Lineage: Eukaryota; Metazoa; Chordata; Mammalia; Artiodactyla; Camelidae
Also listed under: 2 other names
Rfam family: tRNA
About the family: Transfer RNA (tRNA) molecules are approximately 80 nucleotides in length.
Source: Rfam by way of RNAcentral
GAUGGUAUAGCUCAGUACCUGCUUAGCAUGCACGAGGUCCUGGGUUCAAUCCCCAGUACCUCCA